This 210-nucleotide ribosomal RNA is filed under the name Sphingomonas sp. RNAcentral's name for it is "partial 23S ribosomal RNA". It matches the Rfam family "Bacterial large subunit ribosomal RNA", at positions 2699 to 2925 of the family's 2925-position model. Lineage: Bacteria; Pseudomonadati; Pseudomonadota; Alphaproteobacteria; Sphingomonadales; Sphingomonadaceae. The record is from RNAcentral.
GAACAUACCUCUGGUGUACCUGUCGUCGUGCCAACGGCGCAGCAGGGUAGCUAUGUAUGGACGGGAUAACCGCUGAAAGCAUCUAAGCGGGAAGCCUCCCUCAAGAUAAGAUUUCAUCGAGCGGUCGUAGACCACGACCUUGAUAGGCUGGAUGUGGAAGUGCGGUAACGCAUGGAGCUAACCAGUCCUAAUUGCUCUUUUCGCGCUUGA